Herpailurus yagouaroundi (jaguarundi) is the source of this 279-nucleotide long non-coding RNA. RefSeq lists it as uncharacterized. Lineage: Eukaryota; Metazoa; Chordata; Mammalia; Carnivora; Felidae. The record is from RefSeq and is a predicted model, not a curated record. The transcript is spliced from 3 exons.
GGGCGGGGCCCUGCGGGGCGGACCCGGGCGGGCCCCAGUGCCUGGCCGCGGGUCCCGCGGGCGGGAGCCGCCGCCGGCACGCAGGGCCCGCGGGCCGGGUGCAGAGUCUCACGGCCCUUGGGGCUCGAGGGCCCCACAGCGCCCCUCUGCCCCCAGGCGACCGUCCGGACCGAGCCUCCAAAGGCUCAGAGCGGAAUUUGCUCCCACCUCCUCCUGGUAAUCCAAAAGGCUGACCCUUGGCCCCUGCUGGCCCUGCUGGCUGGCUCCCACCCACCCUGG